GACACAUGUGCUGGAGAGGAGAGAUGGGAACAGAGAGACCUUGACUGAGCACUGCUAGAAGGUCACAGCAGGCCCAUCAGCCAGAGAUGCACGUCUUGUCCUUUUCUGAUGAGCUGCCUCCCGGAAACAAACAAAGCUGUCUGGCCAGCUCCACUGACUCAGCCCCAGGAGGAAGAUCCUCUAAGAGGCCCACAGUGAUGUAAUCUCACCCUUUGUCUCCACCAUGGCCAACUACUUGUUUGUUGUUAACACUGGUAACAAGGACUGAGUACGUGAUAGCUGACAAGGACCUCACUCCACAGUUAUAUGGAUGGCGUCACCAGCUUUGACAUCACGCAGCAAUGGAAAAGAUCCCAUUUUACAGCUGAGAAAAUGAAGCCUCCACAAUGGUACUUUAACACCUAUGGUCUCACACCAAGAAAAUAGAACAGUCUGGGUUUACAGCUGAGUUAUCUGACUCUCCCAGUCAUCGGGCUGCACUUCAAUCAAGUGGGAAAUUGCUGCCUUGAGAACUGGCUGAGAGGGAGACGGGCUUCACCGGGAAAGUGGGAAAGCAUCGAGUGGGUUUCCUUCCCACAAGGUUGCAUAUCAUCUCCCUGUUAGAGACUGAGGCAGAGAGCUCUCUGAUGGGCUGUGUACCUAUAGACAAGAUAAUAAAGAUACCUUCAUCAAAGA
This is a long non-coding RNA of Arvicola amphibius (Eurasian water vole), 675 nucleotides long. RefSeq lists it as uncharacterized. The transcript has 3 exons. Lineage: Eukaryota; Metazoa; Chordata; Mammalia; Rodentia; Cricetidae. The record is from RefSeq and is a predicted model, not a curated record.